GAAAAGCCAAUCGAACUCGGAAAUAGCUGGUUUUCUGCGAAAUCUAUUUAGGUAGAGCGUAAUUUCAAUUUAAAAAAGGUAGAGCACUGUAUAGGAAAGGGUGGCCCAAAGCUUUACCAAUCCUAAGCAAACUCCGAAUAUUUUUUAAAGUAAAUUAAAGACAGACUUUGGGUGCUAAGGUCCAAAGUCAAAAGGGAAACAGCCCAGAUCGAACGCUAAGGUCCCCAAGCUAUAGCUUAGUGGUAAAGGAAAUUAGUAAGCGAAAACAACCAGGAGGUGGGCUUGGAAGCAGCCAUCCUUUGAAGAAAGCGUAAUAGCUCACUGGUCUAGUUUACUAGUGCCUAAAAAUGUAACGGGGCUCAAGCUAUACACCGAAGCGACGAUUUGCCAUACUGUAUUUGUAUUUCUUUUCUUAGCUAAUUGUAUUAGCAUAUGAAUUAGUAAAAUAAAUACACAUGUAUGGCUUAGGUAGCAGAACGUUCUGUACAUUAUUGAAAUUAGAUUGGAAAAUCAUUAUUGGAAAUAUCAGAAGUGAGAAUGCUGACAUGAGUAACGUAAAAUUCUGUGAAAUUCAGAAUCGCCGGAAGUUGACGGGUUUCUACACACUGUAAAACAGUGUAGAGUUAA
This 627-nucleotide non-coding RNA is filed under the name Beta vulgaris subsp. vulgaris (sugar beet). RNAcentral describes it as "Bacterial large subunit ribosomal RNA". It matches the Rfam family "Bacterial large subunit ribosomal RNA", at positions 823 to 1383 of the family's 2925-position model. Lineage: Eukaryota; Viridiplantae; Streptophyta; Magnoliopsida; Caryophyllales; Amaranthaceae. The record is from Rfam by way of RNAcentral.